UACGAAGGGUGCAAACGUUGCUCGGAAUUAUUGGGCGUAAAGAGCUCGUAGGCGGUCUGUCGCGUCGAUCGUGAAAACUUGGGGCUUAACCCUGAGCUUGCGGUCGAUACGGGCAUGACUGGAGUUCGGCAGGGGAGACUGGAAUUCCUGGUGUAGCGGUGAAAUGCGCAGAUAUCAGGAGGAACACCGGUGGCGAAGGCGGGUCUCUGGGCCGAUACUGACGCUGAGGAGCGAAAGCGUGGGGAGCGAACAGG
Molecule: ribosomal RNA, 254 nt
Filed under: uncultured bacterium
Lineage: Bacteria
Description: partial 16S ribosomal RNA
Rfam family: Bacterial small subunit ribosomal RNA
Source: RNAcentral